This 524-nucleotide ribosomal RNA is filed under the name uncultured bacterium. RNAcentral's name for it is "bacterial SSU rRNA". It matches the Rfam family "Bacterial small subunit ribosomal RNA", at positions 355 to 896 of the family's 1533-position model. The record is from RNAcentral.
UGGGGAAUAUUGCACAAUGGGGGGAACCCUGAUGCAGCGACGCCGCGUGAGCGAAGAAGGUUUUCGAAUCGUAAAGCUCUGUCCUAUGAGAAGAUAAUGACGGUAUCAUAGGAGGAAGCCCCGGCUAAAUACGUGCCAGCAGCCGCGGUAAUACGUAUGGGGCGAGCGUUGUCCGGAAUUAUUGGGCGUAAAGGGUACGUAGGCGGUUUUUUAAGUCAGGUGUGAAAGCGUGAGGCUUAACCUCAUUAAGCACUUGAAACUGGAAGACUUGAGUGAAGGAGAGGAAAGUGGAAUUCCUAGUGUAGCGGUGAAAUGCGUAGAUAUUAGGAGGAAUACCGGUGGCGAAGGCGACUUUCUGGACUUUUACUGACGCUCAGGUACGAAAGCGUGGGGAGCGAACAGGAUUAGAUACCCUGGUAGUCCACGCCGUAAACGAUGAGUGCUAGGUGUUAGGUCCUUUCCGGGACUUAGUGCCGCAGCUAACGCAUUAAGCACUCCGCCUGGGGAGUACGACCGCAAGGUUG